This 270-nucleotide ribosomal RNA is filed under the name uncultured prokaryote. RNAcentral's name for it is "partial 16S ribosomal RNA". It matches the Rfam family "Bacterial small subunit ribosomal RNA", at positions 524 to 792 of the family's 1533-position model. The record is from RNAcentral.
UACGGAGGAUCCGAGCGUUAUCCGGAUUUAUUGGGUUUAAAAGGGUGCGCAGGCGGGAGAUUAAGUCGGCGGUGAAAUUUUGCAGCUCAACUGUAAAAGUGCCUUCGAAACUGGUUUCCUUGAGUGUAGAUGAAGUAGGCGGAAUUUGUGGUGUAGCUGUGAAAUGCUUAGAUAUCACGAGGAACUCCGAUUGCGCAGGCAGCUUACUAAACUACUACUGACGCUCAGGCACGAAGGCGUGGGGAUCAAACAGUAUUAGAUACCCCUGUA